Cyanistes caeruleus (blue tit) is the source of this 772-nucleotide non-coding RNA. NCBI's taxonomy places the organism in Eukaryota, Metazoa, Chordata, Aves, Passeriformes, Paridae. The record is from RefSeq and is a predicted model, not a curated record.
GAUGCCAAGCACACGAGACUAAGCUCAGUUUCUUGUGCCUAAGGUUGGCCUGGAAGGUUUUCACAGUCUCGUUUCCCUCUUGCUGCUCCUUACUUUCUGGCACAGGAGGGCUGGGAUGCUGCUGGGCUCUGUCAUUGCCUGUUUGCUGACCUGCUGAAAGGUCUUGGACAGGGUUUUUCUGACCUUGGAGGAUGUGAAAGGCCAAUAAAAUGUGGUUGUGUGAGAUGUGUUCCAUCUUCCUGGGGAGCAGAAAAUGCAUCUGAAGGAGAUGGUUCCAGCUUGGGGGGAUGAAGGCUCUUGCACUUCUUUGGCUCUUGGCGCUCUAAAUUUGCCACUCCUGAAAAAAGAAGCUUGGAAAUCUCUCUUGGAAAUCCUGGCUAAAUAAUGCCUGUAUUUUUUCUGCAUCCAACUUUCCAGACAACUCAGUGCAAUAUCACACUUUAGAAAUAACUAUUUUCUUAAAUUGAUCGGAAUCAUUGUAUCUCCAUUGGAUUUUUGGUACUGGUGUUAAUACUGGAGAGACUAAAUUUACUUUAUGGCUACUGUUUUUUUUUUCUCAUGGUUUUUAGCUGCUGGUGGUUAUAACCCUUGUUUCACUUUUCACUAAAAACAUGCCUCUGUUUUUUUUGCAUCCUACAGAGUGGGUGCAGUGAAAAGCUGAAAAUUGUUUCUCUUUAGAGGUCUGGAUCCAUAAGCCCUCUGAAUCCAGCACAAAGCUUCAGCUGGCUUUGUACUUUUCCCACACUUGUUCAGAGAUAAUUUUUUCUCUCUC